This is a long non-coding RNA of Bos taurus (domestic cattle), 238 nucleotides long. The record is from Ensembl. NCBI's taxonomy places the organism in Eukaryota, Metazoa, Chordata, Mammalia, Artiodactyla, Bovidae.
CAGCUGCUCCUUCUGCCAGGCCUGGCAUCCGGAUGCCACGCACUGGCCUCCUCUGAUCCGGGGCUCAUCCAGGGCCGCCUCCCUAUGCCAGACUCUGCAGGACACUUUCAUUUUGUCCAGAAAAGCUACGAGUGGCCUUGGCAGUCUUGCCUUGGAGAAGGGGGAGGCGCUGACCCAUGUCACAGGCGCAUGGUCUAUCCUGGUCUGGUCCAACUGCUCAUCUCCAGGCAGCCCCCGG